Xenopus laevis (African clawed frog) is the source of this 952-nucleotide long non-coding RNA. RefSeq lists it as uncharacterized. The transcript has 3 exons. Lineage: Eukaryota; Metazoa; Chordata; Amphibia; Anura; Pipidae. The record is from RefSeq and is a predicted model, not a curated record.
UCUCUAGGGUUUUCAACAUCUAUUUUUCAAAUGGGUCCAAAUAUAGUGACUGAAGUUCUACUGACUUAUGCAUUCUCUCUUUCUACAGAUGAAUGGCCUCUCAUUGGGAAAAUAGUCCUUGCAAUAAUUUUACUCUUGGGUGUAGCAGCCUUCAUACUCCUCCUCCAUGGUGUUUGGUGAGUAUGUCAUUAACUAAAUUGCGUGUUGUAUUACAAUGGAAUCUCAGGGAACAUAGGGUUUGAUUGGUCUCACCAUUUCUAUCAUCUUCUGUUUAACAGGCAAGUGAUAAAAAGCCAGAAAGAAGAGGAAGAGUGGCAGGAGAAGCUACAGAGCACAACAAUUAACUUGGAAUCUCCUGACGAGAAACAUACCGUCAUCUAUGUGCCUGGACUGGUUGAUUUACCUAAAACCGCAAAUACUGAAAUAAUAGCAGAAGCGGUUAAGGCUGGGGAAAAGAUACCUCAAAGCGAUGAAAAAGAAAAUAAUCCCAGUCCUGUGAAUAUUGAAGUGUCACACGAACAGAUUACUGAGCCGCAGGUCACUGAGCCAAAGGAGGGGCUUCAAGUAAAAGAUGCUGUUGGCACCAUAAAAGGAAAGAAAAAGAAACGUCGACUUUUCUCUUUUUCAAAGAAAAAAGUUAAAGAAGCUGAUGAAAAGCAAAAGAAUGCAGAGGAAAAAAAAUGUCCUGAUGUAAAAGACAAUGAUGUUGAAAUAGAUCUAGAGAAAGGAAAAGUAGAUGAAGUUGAAGAUAAGAAGAAGAAGAAAAGAUGGCGAUUUUUUGAUUUUUUUUAACAAAAAAGCAAAAAAAGAAAACGGAACAGAAAAGUUAGAGGUCUAAAGGAUAUGGCACAUGGCAAUUUGUAUUCCUUAUUUCUUUCCAAGUUUGUAAUAAUGUGGACAACAUGAAAUAAAAAAUAACAUUUAUAAAAAAAUCCACCGAGUUUGAUUUUGU